RNAcentral lists this ribosomal RNA (262 nucleotides) under uncultured bacterium. Its description in RNAcentral is "partial 16S ribosomal RNA". It matches the Rfam family "Bacterial small subunit ribosomal RNA", at positions 516 to 777 of the family's 1533-position model. The record is from RNAcentral.
CGCGGUAAUACGGGGGGCGCAAGCGUUGCUCGGAAUCACUGGGCGUAAAGCGUACGCAGGCGGCGCGUUAAGUCGGGUGUGAAAGCCCGGGGCUCAACCCCGGAACUGCCCUUGAUACUGGCGAUCUUGAGUAUGAGAGAGGUAUGUGGAACUCCGAGUGUAGAGGUGAAAUUCGUAGAUAUUCGGAAGAACACCAGUGGCGAAGGCGACAUACUGGCUCAUUACUGACGCUGAGGCGCGAAAGCGUGGGGAGCAAACAGGA